RNAcentral lists this ribosomal RNA (490 nucleotides) under uncultured bacterium. RNAcentral describes it as "partial 16S ribosomal RNA". It matches the Rfam family "Bacterial small subunit ribosomal RNA", at positions 28 to 507 of the family's 1533-position model. The record is from RNAcentral.
GAUGAACGCUAGCUACAGGCUUAACACAUGCAAGUCGCGGGGCAGCAUGGGGGUUGCUUGCAAUCCCCGAUGGCGACCGGCGCACGGGUGAGUAACGCGUAUCCAACCUGCCCUUCACCACGGGAUAACCCGGCGAAAGUCGGACUAAUACCGUAUGUUGUCCAUUGACGGCCUCCGAUUUGGACGAAAGGCUUGGCGGUGAGGGAUGGGGAUGCGUCCGAUUAGCCAGACGGCGGGGUAACGGCCCACCGUGGCUACGAUCGGUAGGGGUUCUGAGAGGAAGGUCCCCCACACUGGAACUGAGACACGGUCCAGACUCCUACGGGAGGCAGCAGUGAGGAAUAUUGGUCAAUGGGCGUAAGCCUGAACCAGCCAAGUAGCGUGCAGGAUGACGGCCCUAUGGGUUGUAAACUGCUUUUAUGCGGGGAUAAAGUGGCCCACGUGUGGGCUUUUGCAGGUACCGCAUGAAUAAGGACCGGCUAAUUCCGUG